RNAcentral lists this ribosomal RNA (482 nucleotides) under uncultured bacterium. RNAcentral's name for it is "bacterial SSU rRNA". It matches the Rfam family "Bacterial small subunit ribosomal RNA", at positions 30 to 507 of the family's 1533-position model. The record is from RNAcentral.
UGAACGCUGGCGGCAUGCCUUACACAUGCAAGUCGAACGGGCACGCACGGGAGCAAUCCUGGUGGCGAGUGGCGAACGGGUGAGUAAUAUAUCGGAACGUGCCCAGUCGUGGGGGAUAACGUAGCGAAAGCUACGCUAAUACCGCAUACGAUCUAUGGAUGAAAGCGGGGGAUCGCAAGACCUCGCGCGAUUGGAGCGGCCGAUAUCAGAUUAGGUAGUUGGUGAGGUAAAGGCUCACCAAGCCGACGAUCUGUAGCUGGUCUGAGAGGACGACCAGCCACACUGGGACUGAGACACGGCCCAGACUCCUACGGGAGGCAGCAGUGGGAAUUUUGGACAAUGGGCGCAAGCCUGAUCCAGCAAUGCCGCGUGCAGGAUGAAGGCCUUCGGGUUGUAAACUGCUUUGUACGGAACGAAACGGUGAGCUCUAAUACAGUUUGCUAAUGACGGUACCGUAAGAAUAAGCACCGGCUAACUACGUG